RNAcentral lists this ribosomal RNA (326 nucleotides) under uncultured eukaryote. Its description in RNAcentral is "partial 18S ribosomal RNA". It matches the Rfam family "Eukaryotic small subunit ribosomal RNA", at positions 1470 to 1796 of the family's 1831-position model. The record is from RNAcentral.
CCCUUAGAUGUUCUGGGCCGCACGCGCGCUACACUGACGGGGACAACGAGUUUGCAACCUGCGCCGGUAGGUGUGGGUAAUCUUUUGAGCCCUCGUCGUGCUGGGGCUAGAUCUUUGUAAUUUUCGAUCUCAAACGAGGAAUUCCUAGUAAGCGUGAUUCAUCAGAUCGCGUUGAUUACGUCCCUGCCCUUUGUACACACCGCCCGUCGCUACUACCGAUUGAGUGAUCCGGUGAAUAAUUCGGACUGAUGCAAUAUUCAGCUCCUGGACGUUGCGUUGGAAAGUUUAGUGAACCUUAUCACUUAGAGGAAGGAGAAGUCGUANCA